AGUGGGAUAGCUGGGUCAAAUGGUGGUUGGAUUCCAAGUUUCCUAAGGAAACUUUAUACUGCUUUCCAGAUUGGUUGCACCAAUUUGCAGUCCCACCAGCAAU
This 103-nucleotide microRNA precursor is filed under the name Marmota monax (woodchuck). Lineage: Eukaryota; Metazoa; Chordata; Mammalia; Rodentia; Sciuridae. The record is from RNAcentral.